RNAcentral lists this ribosomal RNA (253 nucleotides) under uncultured bacterium. RNAcentral describes it as "partial 16S ribosomal RNA". It matches the Rfam family "Bacterial small subunit ribosomal RNA", at positions 524 to 776 of the family's 1533-position model. The record is from RNAcentral.
UACGUAGGGUGCGAGCGUUGUCCGGAAUUAUUGGGCGUAAAGGGUUCGUAGGCGGUUUGUUACGUCGGAAGUGAAAACUCGGGGCUCAACCCCGGGCCUGCUUCCGAUACGGGCAGACUAGAGGUAUGCAGGGGGGAAUGGAAUUCCUGGUGUAGCGGUGAAAUGCGCAGAUAUCAGGAGGAACACCGGUGGCGAAGGCGGUUCUCUGGGCAUUACCUGACGCUGAGGAGCGAAAGUGUGGGGAGCGAACAGG